Wasmannia auropunctata (little fire ant) is the source of this 974-nucleotide long non-coding RNA. RefSeq lists it as uncharacterized. Lineage: Eukaryota; Metazoa; Arthropoda; Insecta; Hymenoptera; Formicidae. The record is from RefSeq and is a predicted model, not a curated record. The transcript is spliced from 3 exons.
CAUCUCCAUACGCUUCUGAACGGGUGUGAGUUGCAUUUGUACGAGUAUAAACGGAAAAAUAUUUGAUUAUGCUCGAAAGAAAACUUUAGCGACAACGUCAUCACGUUAGGUUAAGCACUAAUUGAGACAUGUUCGGGUGCGUGUGUUUUGUUCCGAUUUGAGACCACACCUUCAAAGCGAGAAAAUGUACUACAUUUCAGUAGUGUUAUCACUGCAUUAGUAGUUCUUUUUUGCGAGAAUUGUACGUGCAUGUGUAAACAUUGUGCGUGCUCAACUGAUUUAGAUCAAACGAUAAGACAUUAUGCGAAGUAUAUUGAAGUAUUACUUUCGUAUCUCUCGUUUCGAUCGCACGUAUAUAUGUACGUGCGCGUUUUUAUUUGUCUUGCGGCUGUUAUUCAGUGUCGAUUUCUGCCUUAAUUAAAUUGUGGAUCCGUUUCCCUUUGGUACAGGACGGGAAUUACUAUUAUAUCUCUAAGAGAUCAAGCUCUGAAUUCUCUGUGAGAAAAUUAUUUAUGUAAGAGAUCGAGUAAGUCCAUAUGAAAAGUUUCAUUCCAUCCCUGGUGAAAAUAAAAAUCGGAGCAUAUAUUCUUGACGUAUGUUUUUCAUUGCUUGUCAAAGAAUUAUUGCAAUUUGCCUUUCCAAUUAUAAAUGCAAUUGUGUUUAAAUACAAAUAUGAUAAUUUCAAACGCUGUCAAGCAUAUCAACGGAUCAUGGAGGAACAUUCCUCGAAACAGACUUUUGGUGGGAUAAGAACGGCCCAUUAGGUGGCCUCCAUACGUAUAAUCCAUUCAGAAUACAACUUAUAAAAGAUGGACUGGUAAAUACCGGAUUCAAAAUGCAAAAUUCAGAUCUUCCGUUGAAAGGAAUGAAGAUUGCGGAUGUUGGCUGCGGCGGAGGUAUAUUGACUGAGGCUUUAGCUAGAAUAGGAGCGCAAGUAACCGGAAUAGAUAUAUCGGCAGAAUUAUUAAACGUUG